RNAcentral lists this ribosomal RNA (506 nucleotides) under uncultured bacterium. Its description in RNAcentral is "partial 16S ribosomal RNA". It matches the Rfam family "Bacterial small subunit ribosomal RNA", at positions 30 to 523 of the family's 1533-position model. The record is from RNAcentral.
AUUGAACGCUGGCGGCAGGCCUAACACAUGCAAGUCGAACGGUAACAGGAAGCAGCUUGCUGCUUCGCUGACGAGUGGCGGACGGGUGAGUAAUGUCUGGGAAACUGCCCGAUGGAGAGGGAUAACUACUGGAAACGGUAGCUAAUACCGCAUAACGUCGCAAGACCAAAGAGGGGGACCUUCGGGCCUCUUGCCAUCGGAUGUGCCCAGAUGGGAUUAGCUUGUUGGUGAGGUAACGGCUCACCAAGGCGACGAUCCCUAGCUGGUCUGAGAGGAUGACCAGCCACACUGGAACUGAGACACGGUCCAGACUCCUACGGGAGGCAGCAGUGGGGAAUAUUGCACAAUGGGCGCAAGCCUGAUGCAGCCAUGCCGCGUGUAUGAAGAAGGCCUUCGGGUUGUAAAGUACUUUCAGCGGGGAGGAAGGUGUUGUGGUUAAUAACCGCAGCAAUUGACGUUACCCGCAGAAGAAGCACCGGCUAACUCCGUGCCAGCAGCCGCCGUAA